CCCAGCCCCGGUAUCCCCAGGUGUUCCCAUUCCCUGAUCAGGACUGAACACAGACCACUCACCAUGGGGUUUUGGCUCAGCUGGGUUUUUAUUGUGGCUCUUUUAAGAGGUGUCUGGUGUGAGGUGCAGUUGGUGGAGUCUGGGGGAGGCUUGGUGCUGCCUGGGGGGUCUCUGAAACUCUCCUGUGCAGCCUCUGGAUUCACCUUCAGUAGCAACUGGAUGCACUGGGUCCGCCAGGCUCCAGGGAAGGGUCUGGAGUGGUUAUGUCAAAUACAUCCUGAUGGAAGUGCCCCACACUGUGCCAACUCUGUGAAGGGCCGAUUCACCAUCUCCAGAGACAACUCCAAGAACAUGCUGCAUCUGCAAAUGAACAGCCUGAAAGCCCAGGACACGGCCAUGUAUCACUGUGCAAGACACACAGUGAGGGGAACACCAGGGGUAGGUGAUGCCAAGCAGAAGCAGGGGAUUCCACGGCGGCUUGGUAUGGACGACCAGGAUGAUGAUUAA
Non-coding RNA from Myotis daubentonii (Daubenton's bat), 507 nucleotides. The record is from the annotation of a RefSeq genome assembly. Lineage: Eukaryota; Metazoa; Chordata; Mammalia; Chiroptera; Vespertilionidae.